Molecule: transfer RNA, 73 nt
Filed under: Saccoglossus kowalevskii
Lineage: Eukaryota; Metazoa; Hemichordata; Enteropneusta; Harrimaniidae
Description: tRNA-Thr
Rfam family: tRNA
About the family: Transfer RNA (tRNA) molecules are approximately 80 nucleotides in length. Their secondary structure includes four short double-helical elements and three loops (D, anti-codon, and T loops). Further hydrogen bonds mediate the characteristic L-shaped molecular structure. tRNAs have two regions of fundamental functional importance: the anti-codon, which is responsible for specific mRNA codon recognition, and the 3' end, to which the tRNAs corresponding amino acid is attached (by aminoacyl-tRNA synthetases). tRNAs cope with the degeneracy of the genetic code in two manners: having more than one tRNA (with a specific anti-codon) for a particular amino acid; and 'wobble' base-pairing, i.e. permitting non-standard base-pairing at the 3rd anti-codon position.
Source: RNAcentral
GCCUCCUUAGCUCAGUGGUUAGAGCACUGGUCUUGUAAACCAGGGAUCAUGAGUUCGAAUCUCAUGGGCGGCU